GAUGAACGCUGGCGGCGUGCCUAAUACAUGCAAGUCGAGCGAACAGACGAGGAGCUUGCUCCUCUGACGUUAGCGGCGGACGGGUGAGUAACACGUGGAUAACCUACCUAUAAGACUGGGAUAACUUCGGGAAACCGAAGCUAAUACCGGAUAAUAUAUUGAACCGCAUGGUUCAAUAGUGAAAGACGGUUUUGCUGUCACUUAUAGAUGGAUCCGCGCCGCAUUAGCUAGUUGGUAAGGUAACGGCUUACCAAGGCAACGAUGCGUAGCCGACCUGAGAGGGUGAUCGGCCACACUGGAACUGAGACACGGUCCAGACUCCUACGGGAGGCAGAAGUAGGGAAUCUUCCGCAAUGGGCGAAAGCCUGACGGAGCAACGCCGCGUGAGUGAUGAAGGUCUUCGGAUCGUAAAACGCUGUUAUUAGGGAAGAACAAAUGUGUAAGUAACUAUGCACGUCUUGACGGUACCGAAUCAGAAAGCCACGGCUAACUACGU
RNAcentral lists this ribosomal RNA (496 nucleotides) under uncultured bacterium. RNAcentral describes it as "partial 16S ribosomal RNA". It matches the Rfam family "Bacterial small subunit ribosomal RNA", at positions 28 to 506 of the family's 1533-position model. The record is from RNAcentral.